Molecule: unclassified non-coding RNA, 329 nt
Filed under: soil metagenome
Description: partial contains 5.8S ribosomal RNA, internal transcribed spacer 2, and large subunit ribosomal RNA
Rfam family: 5.8S ribosomal RNA (bases 1-121)
Source: RNAcentral
GAUGAAGAACGCAGCGAAAUGCGAUAAGUAAUGCGAAUUGCAGAAUUUCCGUGAGUCAUCGAAUCUUUGAACGCACAUUGCGCCCCCUGGUAUUCCGGGGGGCAUGCCUGUCCGAGCGUCAUUACAACCCUCAAGCUCAGCUUGGUGUUGGGCCCCGCCGCCCCGGCGGGCCCUAAAGUCAGUGGCGGUGCCGUCCGGCUCCGAGCGUAGUAAUUCUUCUCGCUCUGGAGGUCCGGUCGUGUGCUCGCCAGCAACCCCCAAUUUUUUUCAGGUUGACCUCGGAUCAGGUAGGGAUACCCGCUGAACUUAAGCAUAUCAAUAAGCGGAGA